GACGAACGCUGGCGGCGUGCCUAAUACAUGCCAGUUGAGCGAUGAAGAUUGGUGCUUGCACCAAUUUGAAGAGCAGCGAACGGGUGAGUAACGCGUGGGGAAUCUGCCUUUGAGCGGGGGACAACAUUUGGAAACGAAUGCUAAUACCGCAUAACAACUUUAAACAUAAGUUUUAAGUUUGAAAGAUGCAAUUGCAUCACUCAAAGAUGAUCCCGCGUUGUAUUAGCUAGUUGGUGAGGUAAAGGCUCACCAAGGCGAUGAUACAUAGCCGACCUGAGAGGGUGAUCGGCCACAUUGGGACUGAGACACGGCCCAAACUCCUACGGGAGGCAGCAGUAGGGAAUCUUCGGCAAUGGACGAAAGUCUGACCGAGCAACGCCGCGUGAGUGAAGAAGGUUUUCGGAUCGUAAAACUCUGUUGGUAGAGAAGAACGUUGGUGAGAGUGGAAAGCUCAUCAAGUGACGGUAACUACCCAGAAAGGGACGGCUAACUACG
Molecule: ribosomal RNA, 495 nt
Filed under: uncultured bacterium
Lineage: Bacteria
Description: partial 16S ribosomal RNA
Rfam family: Bacterial small subunit ribosomal RNA
Source: RNAcentral